UCGUCUGAGACGCCAGAGUCUGAGCAUGUUCAGGACUUUAAAACCGAGUCCGCUGCUAUGACCUGUGAGCAGGAGACUGAGAGUUUGUAAUGGUACGGUUGAGCAGACAUCAAAAAUAAACCAGGUUGAUAUGUACCUGUUGACGGGUUAGCGUUAUAGAUAGAGUUUAGUGAUGACUCUGAAAGUGAAAUAUCUCAGUGUAAGUGGAAAAUGUGAUCAAAUGCUACAUAUUGACCUUAGUGAUAUCUUCUUGGGAUCAUUAACAAGAAAGUAAGAUUGGCUAUCAACAUAUGCCACAAAGAAGGUGAGGAUUAUAUCGAUAGCGAAGAAGCCAUUGACAAUGUGGUCAAAGAUGAAAAGAGCGUCCUGCUUGUAAGUCAGAAAUGCAAAUUCAAAUGGGCAGAUCCAAGCUGAGUAAAUGACUAGGAUAAUUAGAAACAUCUCCCAUGCCCUGAAAUGAAGAAGAUAGAAUCAGAAACAUUGGAGUUGUGCCUAAAAUUACCUUAGCAAGCAGCAGGAAUUUAGUUUUCACCUAUAACUGGGAUUGAAUGGGGAAAUUAUAUAUUUUCGAGGUAUUGUUGCUUGGUUUAUAUUGGCUCCCAGAGAUGGGAGUAGAUCACUAGAGAAGAAGCCACUCUGGGCACCUGUACUCAUUUGGAAGUCGUCAAUACAGAACUGUUGUAAGAAGUUUUUGGUGCUGGAAAAUGACAUUUUGUGGGGUUUGAUUUUCUAAAGGUUACAGUAGAGUCUGUUAAUCUUCGAUGGGUUGUAAGUCUCUUAGAAGAGUUUAUAUAUAGCUAAGCUAGAGGCUGGUGGCACGGGUAAAGACUCCUUGGCAUAAUUUUCCUUUGGUAUGCUUCUUUUAGUAUGCUUUAACAUAUUUGGAAAGAUUAUGCAGCUAAUACGUCAUUAAGGUUAGAAAAGAGAGAGAAGGAGGGGAAUUUUUUGUACAAAGGUAGAAAUAGACAGAAAAAUAUUGGAGUGACAAAGCAACACAAAAUAGUUGAAAGUGGUGGGCAUUGAGCUCUUCGUAAUGCUGUUGCAGAGAUGUGAGAGAUAGAGAGAGAGAGAGAGAGAGAGAAUGGAAGAUGGUCCUUGUGUGGGUGGUGGUGGUAAUGGUGGAAGCUCCAUCAUCAAUAACUGUGGAGCUGUAAAUGAUGUGCAGACAGGGAAGGGCUUUAAGACAGAUUUGAAUGAAAAUAUAUUGGUGUUUUCAUUUCAAAAAUCUAGAAAUGGACCAGGGAAACAUAGUCGGAUCAGGGACGGGGUUUGUUUAGUGGAUGCCACGUGGACCAAUUGGAGCCUGUUUUUGGAAUGCUUGGCGUACUGCAGAGGCUUCUCUUAACAACUCAAUUUCAACUACCUCUCUUACAAAGGAGGUUGUUUGUUUAUGCUAAGCAAUUAGAACCAUGUGUGUGAAAUGGAUUCCGGCCAUAUAUCCAACGGUCCCUCCCAUCCUUGCCCUCUCUCCCUCUCUCCUUCUCUCUAGGGUAUGCAUUGUCUUAUUUUUUAUAAGCAGAUAUUCUUGUUGAUAUUCACCGACCAGUUGAUGAUGCCUUGGUCGAUGAUCCUGUCAAUUUUCUUUUUAUUAAUUUCAGUCUGAAAAUAUUUUAGGAACAUUUCAUUUUUAUGAUGGCGUCUAUAAAAGCCUUAUCGAAAUUAUGCAAAUCUUGUAUACACACGCGCGAAUAUUACUUGAUUGAAGAUUUUCCACAUCCAUGGUUACAGGUGGAAAAGUUGUAAAGGAGAAAAGUUGUAAUUUACUUCAUAUGGAGAAGCCCAGAAGGGGACUGACUCCAUGGGCAUCUUUGAAGAGUUUAUCCAUAGGAGUCAUAAAUUCAUGAUAUGGGCCACAUAUUUUGCUCAUUUACAGCCUAUUUUGUCAUUUUGAUAGGGGAGACAUAUGACUAUG
Molecule: long non-coding RNA, 1912 nt
Filed under: Panax ginseng (ginseng)
Lineage: Eukaryota; Viridiplantae; Streptophyta; Magnoliopsida; Apiales; Araliaceae
Description: long non-coding RNA (PGIN_LNC017747)
Source: RNAcentral